CCUACGGGAGGCAGCAGUGGGGAAUAUUGCACAAUGGGGGAAACCCUGAUGCAGCGACGCCGCGUGAGUGAAGAAGUAUUUCGGUAUGUAAAGCUCUAUCAGCAGGGAAGAAAAUGACGGUACCUGAUUAAGAAGCCCCGGCUAACUACGUGCCAGCAGCCGCGGGAAUACGCAGGGGGCAAGCGUUAACCGGAUUUACUGGGUGUAAAGGGAGCGUAGACGGCAGCACAAGUCUGGAGUGAAAUGCCGGGGCUUAACCCCGGAAGUGCUUUCGAAACUGUGCGGCUAGAGUGCAGGCGAGGUAAGUGGAAUGCCUAGUGUAGCGGUGAAAUGCGUAGAUAUUAGGAGGAACACCAGUGGCGAAGGCGGCUUACUGGACUGUAACUGACGUUGAGGCUCGAAAGCGUGGGGAGCAAACAGGAUUAGAUACCCCAGUAGUC
RNAcentral lists this ribosomal RNA (440 nucleotides) under uncultured bacterium. Its description in RNAcentral is "partial 16S ribosomal RNA". It matches the Rfam family "Bacterial small subunit ribosomal RNA", at positions 338 to 795 of the family's 1533-position model. The record is from RNAcentral.